AAACGAACAGGAGUUGAGAAGAGUUGCUUAUGAAAGAUACGCGCGGAAUCGAACAUUAGAGAUUUUCCGUAAUCGCGUGUUAGGAUAUCGCGACAUGCGUAUCCGUGAAAUUUCGUUUCAUACCUUAUUCUAAUUUUCGCGAGCUCACGGCGCCCGAAGGCAAUCGGCCGUACGAGCAUUACUUUGUGAAACACUGCGAGAGAACAUCGCCGGGAAAGACGUCGGUAAAAACGUGUGACGACACGUUUCGAAACUCUGAGUGUGCGAAUGUGUGAUGCGCGUAGAAAUUAAGAAAACGAUUAUACGGAAUAAUUAUGAAACGCGUAAUAACGUUUGUAUGUGAUACGAAUAAACUUGUGAUAUGUUUUAAAAACUAACAACCGAGUUAUUAUUCACGAGAAACCUUUCACGCGCAAUAUACGCGAGCGACACACCCACACUUUCAGCGAUUUACCAGCGUAAUUCAAGAGUCGGGCGAUCAACCGUGGACGUGACACGAACGUUCGAGCAGACGAGACGGCAGCCGAGAUACCGUAACAAAGGACCAUGCAAAAACGAUACUGAGAGGAAGGGCGAUCCACUGGGCAAUAUCGAGCACGCGCAACGCCACAAAGAGGGACGAGGAGAGAGCCGCCACACCAAUUACACAAAAUGUGCGGGAAAAAGAGGAAGAAAAAGAGAGACAAAACGAUGCAGAGAUACCCGGAACAUCCGAGCGAGCGAUCACACCGGGAAACUACGAAGCAAGGAGAGUCAGGGAGAGACCAGCCCGACGCAUCCCCGCUGACACAUACCAACAACGACAACACGAGGCACGACAUAGAACGUGACAAAAUGUAACAACAUAAACACCCGUGUAAUUAAAACAUAUUCAAGAUCAAACAAUACAAUUAUAAAAUCCGAGCGAAACACAACAGCAAGCGAUAUAGAAUUAUGCGAGAUAGAAACAAACGAUAGGCAGACCAACAAUAUAUUAACAAACACAUCAGAAGACGGAAAAUCGGGUAAAUUAAAUUUAGAUUAAAUGGAGCGCAUAAAAACAAACAUUAUUGACCCAUGCAAAGUAUACAUAGGUAGAUAUAUUCGGUAACAAAAUUCCACUAAGAACAAAAAA
Solenopsis invicta (red fire ant) is the source of this 1114-nucleotide long non-coding RNA. RefSeq lists it as uncharacterized. The transcript has 2 exons. NCBI's taxonomy places the organism in Eukaryota, Metazoa, Arthropoda, Insecta, Hymenoptera, Formicidae. The record is from RefSeq and is a predicted model, not a curated record.